ACAGGAUGUUGAUAACUUUUAGCGCAUGCGCAAUGCGUGGCUGAACGGGAAGGUAGCCUACGAAAUUUUUUAAAAUGGAUUUUCUUAAUAGCCUUUAGAUGUCUAGGCCCCGUUGGAAUAUUAGCUAAUCUUAAAUAAUUUCUUCAUAUUCUAUUCUAUGCAAAAAUAUUCUGGAAAUCUUUUCUCAUAAAAAGAAUAAGAAGACAAAAAAAUUAAGGUAAACUUGGUACAGGCAAUUAGGCAAUGCGCACGACUUUAUUUAAUCAACAGGUGAACGCAGUCGCUUUAAUUAUUGCAUGCCGCCUUUUCAACGCACGCCCGCCCGCAUGUUGUAAAGCUCUCUGUGAUGGAUGAAACAUAUAAUGAGCAAGUGUGCUGUAUAAACCCACCUGUUGAAACAAUAAUCAAAACAAAUAUGCCCUCAAACCCUAACGAUUCAAUCGUUAAAAGGAAACCGAUUGGUUUAGCAAUCGAUAAUGAAUCGUUCGAAAAAGUAAAUAAGCAUCGACGUAGUUCUGUGCCAACCACGCCCUCAGCUCCUGACAUCGUCAUAACGAGUGCAAUGAAUGGUGGAAACGACUCUUCGUCCGAGCAUGAACAACGCCGACCCAGAGCUAGAAGUUCAUCCGUCCAAGUUGCGAGCGAAGUGUCCAAUAUUGAGUUACGUGAAGAGCUUAUAGCUGCUCGCCAUGAAUUGGAACGACGAAUAGCGAAAAAUGAAGAAUUAGAACGGGUUCAAGAGCAAAUGAAUGGGGAAGUAACAGAGUUAACAGCCUCUCUAUUCGAGCAAGCAAAUAAAAUGGUUCAGGAAGCUAAUGUUAAAAGGAUGCAAACUGAAAAUGAACUAAAAGCCGCUAACAAUAAAAUAGAAAUGUUACAAGCCGAAGUCUCCGCCUUGAAAGCCCUCGUAAUUACUUCAACUCCAGCAACUCCAAAUAAACACUUACAUCCUCAAUUGGAUGCAUCAGCCCAAGCCUCUCAAAAACAGGCUACACCGAACAAAUUUGCCAAGAAAAGUGGUUUUGUCAAAACUCACCGAAGAUCGACAAGCCAUCAUCAAUUUACUCGUGAUGAAAUGUCAGCCGUUAAUAUUAACUUGAUUAAGCCUAGUUCAGAGGCAAAUAGAGAACAAAAUGCCAAUGAAGAAAAUCGUAACAAUGAAGAUUGGGGUAUCGAUCCAGUAUACUUUGAUGAGUUUAACAAUUGGAAAAAAUCUCCUAAAUUAGACGAUCGUAACACAUUUCUCGGUCGAAUUGCAGACGAAGAUAUUCUACCAUGUUUAGAUUUUGCAAACAAUAAAUUAUCUCAAAAUAUACACUGGUCAAUUAAGAAAAACACGAUGGCAAUAGAACCAGUACCGGACAGAAAUCCCCUGCCCAGAAUGUGUUCGUUAACUGAAAGGAAUAAUAUUUGCAAAUACAGAGUUCGGUUAGGAGAUAACGAAGAAUGGCAUUAUGUUUCCAAAUUGGCUAGAAAUAGGAUAGCCGCCGUUGCUGAUUUCUACACUUACAUUCGUUAUAUAACAUUGGGCCUAGUGAAAAGUCAAGAUGCAGAAAUGUUUCAACAUGUAAUGAAACUCCGAAAGCAGAUGUGUGUUGCACGUUUAGGUUACACCAUUUAGAAACAGGCUUUAUUAUUAGAAUACUCACAUGUUUGUGCCAAAGUUUUUCUACUUAACUUCUUAUUUCAUGAGAUAAAAAGACAAAAUAUGAGCUUUGUUUCCUUUCACAAAAGAAUUAUUAACUAGAUUUUGCUAAAAUUUUCUAGUCGUAAUGGUGCGUAAUCUUAUUUUUUUAUCAAAAAGAAACAGCAUAAAUUACAAACAACAAUAUUUUUUAGAUAAACUAGAUAGAAUUUUGUAUGCUAGUAUUUACUUAAAACUUGCUUAACCAUUGGCAUAUUUAAAACAAAGUUAAUAGCACAUGUGUCGCAUUAUUGUCGAUUAAACCAUUGGACAAUUUCAACAUAAUGUACUAACCAAAAUUUUUACAUCUGCUCUAUUCAAAUUCGUAAUCGUGUGAAGUCUCUUGAGUAUGAUUAAUUAAUUGUUCUUUAUGUAAUCCAAUUGUACUUUUUAUUUCACUUUUUUUCAUGAAAAUUGAAGAGCCUUUUUACAUUAAAUAAUGUUAUCAUCCUGUUACGAAAGGUCUUAAUGAACUAUGUCGAACUUAAUGACUGCACUUUCCACCUUUUAUAUUACCUAAUCUUGCCGCUAUAUUCGACUUUCAUCUAGUUUUAAAAAGCAUUUAGAGAAAAAUUGCACAAAUUUCGAGAAAGCAUGUUAAUAAUGCUCUUCUUGGCAAGAUUCGGGCGUCUUCGAGUGCCUUCUAAAGUGCCAUCGAAUGAUCAUUCUGCUUCAUAAAAACAAGUUGGAAUUUCAAAGCGUUAAAGAUUUUGUGACUAAGCAAAUUAUCACCGUAUUCUUUGCCUUUGCAUGACAGGAUAAUUUCUCCCACCUAAAGAAAACGAUUCAAUUAGACUAUAUUAUAUAAUACAAAGAAUGGAAUUUAAUUAACAUUUUUUACCUCAUCGUUUAUUCCCAAACUCUCACUUAAAAAAAAGAAGAUAGACAUUCUACAUCCGUUUUAUAAGCAUAUCGACGUAUUAUCUAAGCUGAGUCAUGAUAUUUUCAAACUUUGAAUUACCCAAUAUAGAACAAAACAAUAACAAUAAAAGAACAAUACACUCAGGAAAUAAUAGAGAUAAGGAGCUAAAAGGAAAAAAAAAGCAACUUAUAAGUAAACAAAGAGACAGUAUAUUAUGAAUGUUAUUAAAUUAAUAAUAAAAAAUCUAUUCUAUGUAUUUAUUCUAUAGAAAUUAUGCUAAUUAGAUAAAUUUAUUUGCAGUCUUUUAAAGUAACAUAUAAGAAAGGGAAUCAAAAAAUAGAGAAUUGUAUUGCAGAGAAAACCAUAGUUAAUUUGACGCCUUGUAUAAGGAUUGGAGAUUCAAAAGAGGAAAUAUUCUUUAAGGCAAUGUCAGCUAUACAUAUAACUAAAGAUGAUAAGGAUAAUAGAUUGAUCAAAUUUGGGAUGCCAGUUAGUUUUCCUUCUCCUCUGUUUGAUAUAUUUUACAUAAAUAUAUAUAAAUAUCUGCGUCAUACAAACUAAAUAUAUAUUUAUUAUUAUAUUUUUUUUAUGAACAAAAUAGGAUAAUGAGUUCCAUCUUAAAUUUAAGAAUGAAAGAGAUGCUGAAAAUUUCUAUAAACUUGCCAUUAAAGGUUACAAUUACGUUUUCUUACGUUGCUGCCGAUAGUUGACUUAUUUCUUUUUUUUUUUCUGUCCUAUAUACUAUGUAAAAUACAGACUCCGGGCCGACUAUCACUUUUAGCUUUACCAAUCUUCGUGUAGCUUGCUUUGAUUUCUUCGGAGAGAUAAAGGAAUAAAGUAUUAGUUUCGCUGAUUCCUUCGAUAAAAUGACUGCAUUUCCAUGUUUUUAUUAGAAAACGAAUAUCCUAGAAUCACAUAUCAUCUUUUGGAAUCUUUGUACAUAGAGAACGUUGAAUUUUGAAAUCGAAUCUUUAAUGAAUAUCUUAAUUAUAAUAUAAAUGUUCUAAAAGCUAACUUAGAAAACAUAACAAUAAAAUCAGAAUGAAUAUAUGUUUAUUAUAAUAUUAAGCGUAUUUGUUUGGAAUUAUUACCCGAAAUUUAGAUAAUAACCCUACUU
RNAcentral lists this unclassified non-coding RNA (3663 nucleotides) under Dimorphilus gyrociliatus. Its description in RNAcentral is "sec2p domain-containing protein". The record is from RNAcentral. Lineage: Eukaryota; Metazoa; Annelida; Polychaeta; Dinophilidae.